This 225-nucleotide ribosomal RNA is filed under the name uncultured bacterium. Its description in RNAcentral is "partial 16S ribosomal RNA". It matches the Rfam family "Bacterial small subunit ribosomal RNA", at positions 1274 to 1500 of the family's 1533-position model. The record is from RNAcentral.
UCAAAAAAUAAGUCUCAGUUCGGAUUGAAGGCUGAAUUCGCCUUCAUGAAGCCGGAAUUGCUAGUAAUGGCAGGUCAGCAUACUGCCGUGAAUACGUUCCCGGGCCUUGUACACACCGCCCGUCACACCAUGAGAGUUGGGAAUACCCGAAGCCUGUGAGCUAACUUUUAGAGGCAGCAGUCGAAGGUAGAAUCAAUGAUUGGGGUGAAGUCGUAACAAGGUAUC